Molecule: ribosomal RNA, 253 nt
Filed under: uncultured bacterium
Lineage: Bacteria
Description: partial 16S ribosomal RNA
Rfam family: Bacterial small subunit ribosomal RNA
Source: RNAcentral
UACGGGGGGGGCAAGCGUUGUUCGGAAUUACUGGGCGUAAAGGGCCAGUAGGCGGCCAACUAAGUCCGACGUGAAAUCCCAAGGCUUAACCUUGGAACUGCGUCGGAUACUGGAUGGCUUGAAUUCGGGAGAGGGAUGCAAAAUUCCAGGUGUAGCGGUGAAAUGCGUAGAUAUCUGGAGGAACACCUGAGGCGAAAGCGGCUCUCUGGACCACAACUGACGCUGAGGCGCGAAAGCUAGGGGAGCAAACAGG